This 253-nucleotide ribosomal RNA is filed under the name uncultured bacterium. RNAcentral's name for it is "partial 16S ribosomal RNA". It matches the Rfam family "Bacterial small subunit ribosomal RNA", at positions 524 to 776 of the family's 1533-position model. The record is from RNAcentral.
CACGUAGGGCGCAAGCGUUGUCCGGAAUUAUUGGGCGUAAAGAGCUCGUAGGCGGUCUGUUGCGUCCGCUGUGAAAACUCGGGGCUUUACCCCGAGCCUGCAGUGGAUACGGGCAGACUAGAGGUAGGUAGGGGAGAAUGGAAUUCCCGGUGUAGCGGUGAAAUGCGCAGAUAUCGGGAGGAACACCGGUGGCGAAGGCGGUUCUCUGGGCCUUACCUGACGCUGAGGAGCGAAAGCGUGGGGAGCGAACAGG